CCUACGGGAGGCAGCAGUAGGGAAUAUUGCUCAAUGGGGGAAACCCUGAAGCAGCAACGCCGCGUGGAGGAUGAAGGUUUUCGGAUUGUAAACUUCUUUUGUUAGAGAAGAUAAUGACGGUAUCUAAGGAAUAAGCACCGGCUAACUCCGUGCCAGCAGCCGCGGUAAUACGGAGGGUGCAAGCGUUACUCGGAAUCACUGGGCGUAAAGAGGGCGUAGGCGGGAUAGCAAGUCAGAUGUGAAAUCCUAUGGCUUAACCAUAGAACUGCAUUUGAAACUGUUAUUCUAGAGUACGGGAGAGGUAGGUGGAAUUCUUGGUGUAGCGGUAAAAUCCGUAGAGAUCAAGAAGAAUACUCAUUGCGAAGGCGGCCUGCUAGAACAUAACUGACGCUGAGGCGCGAAAGCGUGGGGAGCAAACAGGAUUAGAUACCCGUGUAGUC
Molecule: ribosomal RNA, 440 nt
Filed under: uncultured bacterium
Lineage: Bacteria
Description: partial 16S ribosomal RNA
Rfam family: Bacterial small subunit ribosomal RNA
Source: RNAcentral